Molecule: long non-coding RNA, 1197 nt
Filed under: Mus spicilegus (steppe mouse)
Lineage: Eukaryota; Metazoa; Chordata; Mammalia; Rodentia; Muridae
Description: lncRNA (ENSMSIG00000005304.1)
Source: RNAcentral
CUCCAUUCUGUUCCCUGAUCUCUCCUUGCUUCACCCACCUCAAAGGAAAAGGUAGGAAGUCUCAGCCACCUUGUUGUUGGGUGACCUUUCUGAAUGCAACUUUGUUACCUUUCAGAACCUCAGUGUCUUUACACAGAAGAAUGUAUCUAGGACAGCGGUCACAGGAGUCCAUGAAAUGCGUUCAUCACAUGCCUGGUACUCCAUGUGGACUUUCUGGUUGCAGAAUUCUAGACUGCCAGUUCUGAUCAUCGAUGAGCAAUUACUGAGCUUCGCUAAGUGGACCUGCGCCAGGUGCUGGAGACACAGGAAUAAAGGAUUUGGGUAAACCCUGCAGUUACCGUGAAGCAUUGAAGAGUAUAGUUAUCAAAGAUAGAGCUGCUCCAUGCUGGUAGUAUGCAAGGAGAGUACAUGUGCCGGUCAGAGAGAGAGAACUGGGUGUAUGGCUAAGACUGGUCAGUGAGAACGACUCAUGCCAAGAUCUUCCGAGGGACUGAUGAGCAUCUGAGGCUGAUGGAAGAUGUCUUAUCUCUUUAUGGUACUAAAAGCAAGUCUGAUGUGGAAGCAGGAGAACUAAGGGGGGUAUUCAGAGACUCAGCUUUAACAAUACAUCGGAACUGCUGGAUCCAGCCGUACCUGAAGCAGAACUCCCCAUUUUUCAUUUAGCUCACUUUGAAAGCCUUUCUUUUUCUCCUAUCUCCCUUCUACCAAAAGACACAGCAAAGGUACGGAUAUAGCCAAGAGAUGUUCGGUGGAUUCUGCUGGGAGGAAGGGAGAAGAUGUGAGCUAGAUGACCUUCAAACGCCCUUCCGGUGAAAGCGUGUUUGAGUGGGGCAUUGAAGGGCCUGAAUUGGCAGUUGUUCCAGAUUAUGGCACAGAGCAGCCAUGCAAGCAGGGCCCCAGCAUGCCUCCCACUCCUGUUUCCACCCGGGAGCACUUCCUGGGUAAGCCCCUCUCCUGCAGCCAGCGAGGCCUGAGGAGUGUGGCCUCAAGCCAGGGUGGAGGUCAGCUUGGCCACCAGACCAGAGGGACCUAAGUGAGCUCCAAGGUCCCCCUCGGAGGCUGCUGCUGGCACUCAUCUCCUUCCCCUGGGCCCUCUCAGCUGUUCAGCUGUGGCGGACCCCCAGGUCCUCCUUCAGCACAUUCUCCAUGUGGCAACCAGGCAACUUGCUCCUGGCCCCCACUGCCCUUGGAUAAGGG